GACGAACGCUGGCGGCGUGCUUAACACAUGCAAGUCGAACGGAGUGCUCAUGACAGAGGUUUUGGCCAAUGGAUUGAGUUACUUAGUGGCGGACUGGUGAGUAACGCGUGAGGAACCUGCCUUUCAGAGGGGGACAACAGCUGGAAACGGCUGCUAAUACCGCAUGACGCAUGACUGGGGCUAUCCCGGACAUGCCAAAGAUUUUAUCGCUGAAAGAUGGCCUCGCGUCUGAUUAGCUGGUUGGUGAGGUAACGGCCCACCAACGGCGACGAUCAGUAGGGGUUCUGAGAGGAAGGUCCCCCACAUUGGAACUGAGACACGGUCCAA
Molecule: ribosomal RNA, 327 nt
Filed under: uncultured bacterium
Lineage: Bacteria
Description: bacterial SSU rRNA
Rfam family: Bacterial small subunit ribosomal RNA
Source: RNAcentral